CGCGCGAAGUCGGGCCGCCGGGCCCUGCGACACGGUGCGCAUGCGUCAGCGUCUCGGUGCGGCGGGUCAAGGGUCAGCCCCAAGAUGGCGGCGGCGGUGACCUUCUGCCGGCUGCUGGGCCGCACCGGCCCGGCGGCGCUGAGCCUGCCCCGGGGCGCCCGGUGCUUUGGGGUGCGCACGUCGCCGACCGGGGAGAAGAUGACGCACACCGGCCAGGUCUACGACGAUGCGGACUACAGGAAGGUCCGGUUCGUGGGUCGCCAGAAAGAGGGACGGGCACUCCCGAGCGGACGCUGGCAGGAGGACCGUCCUGCCCUGAGUGGCUGUGACUGGUCCCGUACAGUGGCGGCAGGAGAGAGGAUGCUGAUGUGUGUCUCCAGGAACCUGAGCUCCUCAUUCCUCUCUGACCUGCGCUGCCGGAACGCAGUCUGCGGGCCGCGCCGCGGUCGGGGCCGGUCGGGGCCGGUCGGGGCCGGUCAGGCCGUCUUCCUCUUCCGAGUCCUUUUGUCCUCUGCAGUCACCUCGGGCCCCUCCUUCCCCCAGUCAGCCUUCUUGUUAGUUCUUGUUAGCUCUGCGCGAGUUGGGUUUCCCGCCUCUCUGAUCUCGGUUACACUGUCUGUUCUUAAGGUCUUUUUCUACUUCGUUUCCUGCCUUGCGGGGGACAGGGUGGUGGAGACAGCGUUCAGUGCCUCGGUGGAGCCAUGGGUCCUGACUCUGUGGCUGGCCCCUGCGGUCCGGCCCCCGGCUCCCCAGCUCAGCAGUUCUGAUGCGUGAGCAACACCUGGUUCUGUCCAGGCUCCUCCCUGCUACAGACUCUGUGGCCUCUGGUUUCUGAUCGCCUUAGCAGGGGGCCACCGGAGCAGCUGAAAACCAAAACCAACCCAACGAAACCAGAAUUCGCAAAGCCAGUGGAGUGUGAACAGAGGAGGCAGAGCUGAAGGUGUCCCCUCACCCAGCAUCAGAGGGUAGUUCGCCCGCCCUGAGAAUGUGUCACGUUCCGCGUCCGGCAACCACGGGUCUUGCUGGCUCUCUAGUUUUGGCUAGUUGUAUUUUAAGAAGCCCACCGAACCCGAGCUUAAUCUGAUGAACGAGGAGCGCGGAAAGCUGGAUAGCUGAGCUGGCCUUUGCAGAGAGAGACAGGAAGUGUCUGUGCGUGGCUCUCGGCUACUCCUGGCCAGAGGCACCUGGUGCAGUUUGCGGCGUGUCUGCAAAGGAAUCCGUGCGGGCCUGUGACGGGGUCUUCCUAAGACGAGACACUCCCGUGCUGAAGAACCGGCUGCAUAGCGCCCACUCCUCGAGGAGGGGCCAGAAGCCAGGCCUGCCAUGGUCCUGGGCCACCUCCGCGAGGCAGGGGGCUGGAACGGAGCAGAGGCUUGUCUGAAGCUACAGAAAGCGUGUCGUUGACUUGGUGCUCAUGUACCUCAGACAAAAGGCACACGUGUUCUGUCCUCCAGCAGAAGAGCUCGUGCGGACAGGAGACCGCGUGCGGAAUGGCGGUGACAGUGACAGCAGUGAGAAAGCAGCAGCGCUGUCUCUGUCACCUUGCGGCUCAGAGGUGUCUGGUCUCGAGUGUGGCUCCAGGCCGCUCUGUCCGACCGCGUCCGGAUCUGUGCAGCCCCCUAAGCGCUGCCUGCCUCCGGCGCUGACCUCACUGGGCUGAGGGUGCUGGGUCCGAGGGGACGAGCCACUAGGGAACCCCCGCCCUGGGAGGCCUUCAGCGAGCGUGUGCCCCAUUCUGUUGCUGCUGGGUUAUUGCGACGGGGCUGGCGUCAUUCGUGCGCAUUAAAGAUGCGCAACGGGGCGGAGAGCCCAGAGCACUGGGAGGCCGAGUCCGUUGAGUAUAGCCCCCCGUGCCCUCCGCUUGCUGCAGUGAUGACGGGGCGGCUCAGCCCAGGCGGGUCGCCCUUGCCGGCUGGGGGGCAGCGGGGACCCUCGCUGCCCAGGUGCUCUGGACAUGUCCUGCCCAUCUCAGACGGCCUCCCGACCCCCCGGCGGGCAGGUGAGUCUGGCUGCGACUCUGACUCAUCCGCUGGGCACCUUGGUUCCUCAGUAGCAGCUGGAAGGUCCCAGCCACCGCGGAGCUGAGGAGCGGUCCCCGUGGCACCUGCUGUGUUGGUGGAGUGACGUGAAGCCUGUCCUCCCCAGAGGGGUCUGGACGUGGUGGCUGUGGACGCACAGCAGGGGCUGGGAGUGCCGGAGUGAAGAGCUCGCGGGUGGGGCGCGUGCGGUGUGGCUGCGGGCCCCACCGGGAGUGACGAGUGUCCCUCAAGGGCUUGUAGCCCUGGGCUUGUUGGGCCUUGCUUCUGGGCGCCGGCAGAGUGGACCGCUCGCGUGGUGAAGUGACUUCUCCGCUGAGGUGGACCAUGCUCCCCGCGCAGACGCUGUAGGAAACUUGCGGGUGUGCUCCAGGAUCGGCGGCGGAGGGAGACCCUGAGCGUAGUCGUCCCGCUAACGGCGGCUGCACACCGACACCUCUGUGAGCUGCCGUCCGGACCGCGGUGAUGCGAAGGUGUGCGUGUGUCUGCACGUCCAGGCGGCUAGAGGAGGCUGCACGAGCCUGCGGGACGCAGCGCUCCCGAGGCUCGGAGGCCGGUGGCCGGGCGCUGAGCCUCCAGGUCUGUGCCUUCCUCUCGCCCUCUGGCGGUUCCACGAUCCGUGCUUGUCCUCGGCCCCUGCCCCGGCCACAUCGCCCAGGGCACCUGCAGAUGCUGCUGUACAAAAAGCCUAGGAGGUGUUUUUGAGCAUUUUCUCCAAAUUUGUGUUAAAAAUUAGCAGGUUGGCAGCGUCCAGCACGGGGUCACUCCGCGAGGCUGUUCCUCCUUGUGCAGUUGUAAGACUGUCCCGUGUGCUCCCGCGUUGUACCUUGUGCUUCUCGUGGGCGUGACCUCAGUCUGACGUAAGGGAGUAAAUUGUCCAUGGGAACGGUCACUCCCCAGGGCACGGGUCAGACGAAGAUAGCCGCCGCCUCCCGGUGAAUUUAAGCCGGUGGGUCUUCGUGCCCAGUCAGUGGGCCGUCAGGAGGUAAAUGAAAAGGUAAUUUCACAUUCGUUACGUCGGUGACGCAUAAAGGACAAUCGUAUGGCCGUUGGACAGUCGAGGGCGUGUGACACCGUCUGCCUGAAACCCACGGUGCUGACGGCUGAGGCAAGAGCCCGGGCCGCUGUGAUGUUCCUCUGCGUUCAUGCGCUUGGAAGGCCCGCGGGUGGCCUCCGGGCCUCGCCUCCGUCGGGGCGGCCAGACCAAGCCCUGAGCUGCCACCUGGGCUCGGCUCUGGGACUCCGCGUGCGCCUGUGGUUGAAUUGAAUCCCGGGAAUGAGACGCUCAUCACGGACGGUCAGGGUCACCCUGGGGCUGAGUGACGGGCAGUCCUGUGUCAGUCUCUGGUGUCAGCUGCCCUUCCUGCGGGAGAUGGCGGUCUGUCUGACGGCCAUGCUGGGGCCCCGGGGUUUGUUCGUGUGGCCUUUGUGACACGUGUGUCACUUAGGUAGACGCCGUCCCGUGUUACAGCACCGGCUUCACGUGUGCGAUGCACGGCUCUGUGCAGCCGAGGGGAGCGGGCCCUCCCGGCCUCCGCAGCCGGCCGACAGGUGCGCGUGUAAGCGGAGCGGCGAGGCCGCGUGUGGGGCCGCUGUGCUCAGAGAGCCUGUGGGAUGGCCCGGCCUCCCCACCUGGCCGCGCUGUGUGCGAGCCCUGGGCUCUGCUGGAGCCCCGUGUCCCCGUAACCUCCUGGUGAGUUUGUAGAAACGAAACUUCACAAAGUCAGAGUCUGUAGUAAUAAUUAAGUUUCUCCAGAAUGUCCGCAGUCUGUGGGUUUGGGACAUUAUCUGAGUCAAUGGCAGGCGAGGCCGUCUGUUCCCGUGCACGAGUGAGGGGCUGGGCCCUGCGGGAUCGCGUGUCCUCUGCACGGAGUCCGCUGGCUUUAGAGAGGCUGUUCACGGAGGCUGAUCGUGCCUUUCUAACUCAUUUCCAGGCCUCAUUAGAGUUCAGAGGUCCCAGCCCCCUUCAUUCGUGAACACUGAUCCUCGUCUCCCUGUCUCCGCUGCGGUGGGGCCUCUCCCUGUCCGUGAGGCUCUGGGGACGCGGGGCAGGUGCCCCGCUGGGCCCCGGCAGCCGCGACCGACUGGCAUGGCUCUGCCGUCAGGCACCCCUGGUACCGAGGUUGGUACUCACGGCGCGGCUGGUGGGCGAGCCCACUUACUGUGUGUGGCCUCCGUUUCCUGUCCUGUCUGCACGCAGUGUCACCCCCGUGGUGGCCGCGGGGAUGUCUGCCAGGAAGAGUAGUGGCCCUGGGAGCAUUCGUCCCGUGGCGUGUGCUGCGCGCAGACGAGCCUCCGGCUUCAGAGGCGGGUGACGUCCCAGAUGUGGUCUCGCGGUUGUUUUCCGCCCUGGGUGGGUUGACGGUGGCGCGGGGUCUAGAGGAACCACCAGCUGCCGCUGCCUGGGAGCCCGAGCGUGGGACACCGAGCCCUGCAGACGGCCGAGAGUGUGGUGGGGGCUUGAGGGUUGCCGUAGACGGCUUUGGGGAGCACACGCCGUUGGAGGGGGGACGUGCCUCUGGACGGCUCUCCGGGGUGAGAAUCUGCAGCCCCUGGCAUGGGCCGGCCCCCGGGGUGAGACGCGGGAGUCGGCUCCGUAACAGGCUGGGGGCACGUUGGGGACCUUUACACACACACACACGCGCGCGCUCUCUCUCUCUCUCUCUCUCUCUCGGAUGCUUUCCCUUCCCAGCCUUGGGAGCUUUGUCUCCUGGGUGAUGGCCAGGGAGGCUGUGCGCGCCUGGCUCAGGGCGGGUCAGGUCCGAGCCCGGUGGGUCUCCUGGCCUGGGUCCCCUUGGCCACAGUAGCUCGCUGUGAGACAUGCUACUUGCCCAGCCAGGUGUGCGAAUUUCUGUUUAACGAAACAGAUGUGGGGGGAUAGUGUCACGGUCCCUUGUCCCGUGAGCCCGGUCUGGCGCAGCCGUUACCAACCAGGAGGCUUCCCGAGGCGGCGGCGCUGCUCUCUGUGCUGAUGGCCCACAGCCCGCUCCCCACCAGGGCUGCCGUUCCGCAAGCAGGUCGCCGACUCGGUCCCCGUGAACCGAGUCCGCGGUGCCUGCAGCCCCCACGAGGCACUGACUGGACCGCAGACUACCGCGAUCUCUAAGUUAAAUAGCGGAGCGGAGGUGGAGUCCUGAUUGUGUCGGAGUAAGAAGAAUCUUGUGACUGAGGACACAGAUAAGCCCCAGGCAGUGCACCUGCUGACGAGUCUAAGUGUCUUUUAACUCUUAGGUGUCGUCCCCCGCCCCCCUCCCGAGGCUCCCUUUACCUGCUCGGAAGUCGCCUGUCUGUGGACCCGGGUCUCUCUCUCCGCUGCGUCGCCGGCGGCUGGGUCUCCCGGCUGCUGUACGUUGUGGGGUUCGGUGCCCGUGUUCUCAGGGUGUGGAACCCGGGUUGGCUGUGGCAGCUGCAUCAG
Mustela lutreola (European mink) is the source of this 5451-nucleotide RNA transcript. It is a transcript of the gene named NADH:ubiquinone oxidoreductase subunit S6, with no coding region annotated. The record is from RefSeq and is a predicted model, not a curated record. The transcript is spliced from 4 exons. NCBI's taxonomy places the organism in Eukaryota, Metazoa, Chordata, Mammalia, Carnivora, Mustelidae.